UGUGUGUGGUUGGCACCAUUCUGCAUCUCAUAUUGCUAAGCCACCAGCAUUUAUCUGUGGUCAUUUAGGUCAAUUAUUAAAUCUUGUUCACUCAGAAUUUCUUUUACUCACUCAGGCAUUUAAGUCUCACUGACUUAAUGUGAUUUAGUAAUGACUCUCCUCUCUUUGCAGGAGUGGAGGAACCAGUACAUUCACUUGGAAUCAUGCGUCGAAGGAUCUGUGUUGGACACAGAAGGAAGUAGAGAGAGGAAGGGAAAGAAAGAUGCUCCCCUACUACCCUGACAUGUGCCCUGACCAGUAAUCCAACGUGGACCUCCUGGGGGACUUUUGCUGCUGCAUCAUUGAUGACAGAGAUUUUACAUCAGGUUCAUAUUUCGUGACCUUCAGAAAUAUGCACGAGCUACUACUUUCAUCCAUCAAGCUACUCCUAUUAAAGAGACUUAACAAAAUUCAUCACUGGGAGCAAAGAUUCACAAGUGCAUGUGGAUGAAAACAUGGAGAGUAACGCUGUUGCUGUUUUUUAAACAGAAAAAAUUUUCUGCAAUGGCAUUCCAAGUCCUCAAUAGGUCCUUUCAACAUUAUUGAAAUUGCUCUUCCCCUCUCUCGUCAAUCCAUGUCUAUGGUCUUUAAUGUAACUUGUUAUGUAAAAUUAUUUAUUUAACUAAGAUGCACCUACACUGAAUUUAUCUGAAAAAUAAAAAAGUCGAUAUUAAGAAAUAAAUUGUAAAUGGAAGUGUUAGGUCGGUGGGAUACAUGCAGGCAUGUGAUGAGACAAUGGACUUCCCCUGGAAUUUCUCACAGAUCAGCGCGCCAGACACAGAU
Long non-coding RNA from Myotis daubentonii (Daubenton's bat), 822 nucleotides. RefSeq lists it as uncharacterized. The record is from RefSeq and is a predicted model, not a curated record. Lineage: Eukaryota; Metazoa; Chordata; Mammalia; Chiroptera; Vespertilionidae.